GCUCACUGUGGUCCAGGACCAGCUGCAGAAAGCACAGAAUGGUAAAGCAGGUGAUUGUGACUCCAACAUGCUUGAAUCAGAAAAAAAGGAAAGUUGGAGCCUUAAAAAGAAAAUAUCAGACAUGGAAGAACA
Molecule: long non-coding RNA, 132 nt
Organism: Nematolebias whitei (Rio pearlfish)
Lineage: Eukaryota; Metazoa; Chordata; Actinopteri; Cyprinodontiformes; Rivulidae
Exons: 3
Source: RefSeq, a predicted model, not a curated record